UUUUUUUAUUUUUAGUAGAGACGGGGUUUCACUGUGUUAGCCAGGAUGGUCUCAAUCUCCUGACCUCAUGAUCCACCCGCCUCGGCCUCCCAAAGUGCUGGGAUUACAGGCGUGAGCCACCUCGCCUGGCCAGAUAAACACCUUUUCAAAUGGCAACUGGCUAUUGGGACACCACUUUUGUGAAAUAUUCGCAGAGCACCCACUAGGUGCCAGUAAAUGUAUGAGAAGUCCUGUGGAAUAAGACUGAAGUUGUCCUUGCCUUCAAGCAACUUGCAAUUGCCUAAGAACACAGUUUAAAACCACAAAACUAAGCCUUGGAAAUCACAUGCUGUCAUUUCUGCGAUCGGUCAUAACCAGUCCUGAUUCCAUGUUAGAGGAGACUACAUAAGGACACAGGUACCAGAAGGCUGUACAGGAAGCAAGAUGCUGGCCAUCUGCUCAGCUUCUGGGGAGGCCUCAGGAAACUUUCAGUCAUGGCAGAAAGCAAAGGGGAAAUAGGAGACUAACCAGCAUGGGCUACAUCAAAAAGGCUGCCAUCUACUUUCUGCUGGGUAGGGGCACCAGAGAGACUUGUCAGAAACUAGAAGGAAGGUAGAGUGCGAAAUCUGAGUGUUAAUUCCCUGGCUUCAUCAAAGGACACUGGUCUUCACAAGGAAACAGACUACAUGAUUCUCCUUUUGGGCUUCAGUAAAAACCCCCUCCUUUCAUCCCUUAGUCUAGGGAUGGUAAGAGGUCAGCAGCUAAGAAUUCUAGGUUCUUUGUGGUUUUCCCGUAUACAUGUCUUUGAUGAUAGCCCCUUUGGAAAUAAAUUCUCCUAGACUUUU
Homo sapiens (human) is the source of this 824-nucleotide long non-coding RNA. NCBI's taxonomy places the organism in Eukaryota, Metazoa, Chordata, Mammalia, Primates, Hominidae. The record is from Ensembl.